UUGCAAACGAAUCGACCAGCAUCAUCAGAAGGCAUUACAUCAUAUCCCAUCUUCGACAAGUUCUUAACAAUUUCGUUGACAGGAAGAGAAGUCUGCAACAGCAGUCCAAUGGGAAACAUUAAACUGAUAUUUGUUUCCAAAUGAAGCCUAGACUUCCUUCAAUAUUUGAUCAGAGAAGACAAACAGUAAUGGCAUGUAAAGUGCUCAGAAAAUAGUUAUGCUAUCUGUACAACCGUAAACUCUAUGGAUGUUUUUGUGAAAGACACAGUUGUUCAUUUAGGUAUUCCCAAAAGAAUAGAAAAAAAAGAAAAAUGAAAGAACAGUCUUAUGCAAGACAGUAAAUGCUUGCAAGAACACGCUAAGCCAGCACUUAAGAUUUAAAGUCAAGAUCAACAUCAGAUAUAUGCUUGGCUUCUGGUAGAUGUGCAAGCCAUGGAUCCAAGAACAUCCAAGUUAGCAAACAUCUAAUAAUCAGCUAAUGCUCUCAUAGCCAGAUAUGUGACUCACAUAUCUAGGAUUAUAUGGUCAAGGCCAAAUAACCCAAAUAUGGAAAAUAAAUGUCCUGAUGCUCCAGUAACUACAGUGAAGUGUGUUUCCACUAGGUGAUUGCAUACAGGACACCUAGAGGUGAUCUAGGUGUGUCAACACAUUUAACCUUCAUAUUUAAUCAAAAUUCAAGCCUAAAAAGAUUUGUAAAAUGCUUAAGCUUAAAAGUUCUAACUUCCAUGGAUUCAUGAUCUAUAUAUUUGUUAAAUCAUGUUCAGUGAAUUGAAUGACACAAUUACUUGUGACUUUAGGGAGGCAGGCCCUGAGCCACGCCAGGAGAAGACAAAACAGAGUAUCAAUCAGUUGAUUGGUGUGUAAGAUUAAAAGGUAACCUACAGUUAUCUAACCAUAAGUUGGGAUGAAAUUCCAAAUUAGGACUUGCUGCUGAUUACAGUACAUCAUAUUGGAUCAACUAGAGUUUGCUAGAUCACAACAGAACUACAACAGAGAAUCACAAGAACAUUUUCGUCAAAGUCCACAAGUAAAAUAUGCAUGGGAAAGUUAAUAUAAGCCUAAGAGAUCACUAAGGGAUCCUUGUUAGUACAUUGAUUAGGACAGACAUGACAAAAAAUUGAAUAACUUAGAUCUAUCUGUCGAGUAUAAAGGUGCAAGUACAGAAGAAUAGAAUCAGAUUCUUUCUUUAGUCAAAUGACACAAGAAUCAGAUUCUUAUGUGCAUAGAAUUGUCUGAUGCAGAAGAUGCAUACAAGGACGAUAAACACAAGGACAUAGUGCAGCAAUGUAAUUCAACUAUUUCCAGUGUUGAUGAUGCAAACUUGUAGAUAAAUUUUCAGAAACCCAAAAACCAGAAAAGUCCUCUUCUCCCAAUAGAAUAGAAAAUCUAGAAGAGGUUGGUGAAUGUCCAUCUUCUUGCUAAGCACCUGAAAUUUCCAUGGACAUCCAACACAGAUGAUAAAAAUUGAUUGCAAGAUAAUGAUAAACCAGCUUCAUUAUGUGUAAUUAUCUGCUCCAGAUGACACCUUUGGGUCUGGGAAAACCAGUACCAAAGCAACUCCAAGUUCCCACUUAUCCCCAAAUUAGGAAAAACAAGCAAAAAGAUACCAUAUCUGAUCGUAAAUGUCCGAAAUCAAUUCCCAGGUUCCUAAUCCAAAAUAUUCAACCCUUUCUAGUUAAAAAGAUGAAAAAUGAAUAAAAAUGAAAAAGAAACAAAAGAAAAGAAAGAAAGACUAAGGAACUCAUAUCUGACGGAUGGGAGACUAUAUUUGCUGCUGAUUAUGUCCGUUGGAGUUCAAAAUGACAAUCUUGAACACUUACCACAGCUACUUAGCAAUUUCAAUCUCCAUCAGGAAGUUUAAAUUUACAACACAUAUUUCUCUUACUAAUGGAGGAAAGCCAGCAAUAGAUCAAAGUUGGCCAAAUAACACUAGCCAUGUUGAUAAAAGUUCCUUUCAUUUCACUAACUGAAACUUCAUGAGAAGAUUAUAGUAACCAUAACAUAUAUAUGGCAUCUUCAGUGAGAACCUGCAUUUGAAGAAAUUUGUUUAUGCUGCCAGAAUCAAUCCUUUACAUGGAAAUGUGCCAGAAGAAAAUCCAGAUGAGGUAACCUAGUGAUAAACUGAAAGUUAUUGUUUUCCAUCCAAUCACUUAGUUCUUCUCUUGGUUAGUAACUGAAUACAGAUCAAUCACAAGAAUGUUGUUGAGGAAAAGAAAACAAGGUAGUGUGUCUCAUGAUCAUAAUGCAGAUGAAAGAACCAUACUUUAUGCACUGUUGAGUUGAAAAUUUUAAAUGGAUUGUUUAUUUAGAGGUCGGAUUCUAUAUGUUAAUCUAAAUAGUUUUAAUGACAUAUCAGGAUUUGCAUGGGAUGAAAAAAAUCCAAAUCAAAGGAAAGGAGAAGUUAAUAGAUUUGAUGUGUUGUCAUUGAAUCGUGUGGAAAGAACAAAAAACCAGAAUUUUCUAAAUGGAAAAGAAACCUGUUUUAAGUGCUCUUCUACUUCAUGAUGUCAGACUUUUCUGUGUGCUAGAGAAUCUUACUUCUUUUUUGGUUUGUAUAAUCAUUUGUUUUAUUCCCAUCUUCAGCUUUUUAUAUUUCAGCUUUUUAUUCUUUCUUUCUUCUUCUUCUACUUACUCUUAUUAUGUCCUUCCUCUAAUAAUGAAUUACAAUGGUGUUAUAUCUCAUCCCGAUAGAUCUAGUAGGCCUAUAAUUUAGAUGGACUUAAACAAUUGAUCUGUUUGUAUCCCCAGAGCAAACACAACGAUUUAGAUCCUGCAAAAGUCUGUAUGCUCAUAAAUAUGUGUAUAGCAGAACAGCAUGUACUGAUGUGGGUAUACUGAGAAAGAGGAGCUACAGUAAUAAAUCUAGUUCAAUGAAAUCAACUAAUGAAUGUCUUUGGGACUUCUAGUGAAGUUGUUCUCAGUGAUUAUACAUAUCUCAACUAAGAAGCUUGAUAUUCAUCCAAUAAUUUAUUCCAUACCAUUUUACAUAACUCUUAAAGAUCAUGAUGUUUCCAAAAGAGCAGGUAAUCAUGAUCUGAAAGAAAAAAAAAAACUAAAAGUCAAUGAAGAAGUUGUCAUACUACAGCCACAAUGGUCAGCAUACCUCUCGAACCUGUGAGAUGCUUCCAUCAGAAGGUACAAUUGCAACUUUCUGCAUGGUGAACAAAAGGCAAUUGUUUACAGAAGAGUCAUCGUGCAAAAGUAUGAUGUACAAAUAUAAGAGUAACUCAAGCAAUGAAAAACAGCAAAGCACAUAUGACCUGAGGUUUCCAUCCCAUCUCAUCUGGACAGCGAAAGGUUGCCUCAUUGACUGCUUGAUUCUCAAUAGCAAACCUUGUAGCACCACUAUUUACUCCAAGAUGCAGCUGAUAAAACAACAUAACAAAAAAGAAAAAGAAAAAGUGUGAAGACAUAACUGAAAGAGAAACCAGGUUAAGUCAGCAAGU
Molecule: long non-coding RNA, 3446 nt
Filed under: Musa acuminata (dwarf banana)
Lineage: Eukaryota; Viridiplantae; Streptophyta; Magnoliopsida; Zingiberales; Musaceae
Description: long non-coding RNA (MACU_LNC006407)
Source: RNAcentral